CCAUUAAUUUGGAGGAAUGUAUAGCAUUUGCUAGUUAUAUUAACUAUAAGUUAAUAUAGCAUCGAUUUAUUCGAAUAAAGUUCUAGAUAAAAUAAUGAUAAUGACAAUUUUUUAUCUAUAUGUCUUGACCAAAUCAUGUGCCAGCAGUCGCGGUAAGACAUGGAAGACUAGUGUUAUUCAUCUUUAAUAGGUUUAAAGGGUACUUAGACGGUAUUUCUAGCCAAAAAAGGUACGGAUUUACUAGAGUUUUAUAUGAGAGGGUGAGUAUUUUAGGUGUAGAGAUGAAAUUUUUUAAUACCUUAAGGACUGAUAACGGCGAAAGCAACCUUCUAUGUAAUAACUGACGUUGAGGGACGAAGGCUUGGGUAGCAAACAGGAUUAGAUACCCUAAUAGUCCAAGCAGAAAAUUAUGAAUGCCAUAGAUUAGAUUUAUAUUUAGUUUAUAAAUAAAAGUGUAAGCAUUCCACCUCAAGAGUAAUGUGGCAACGCAGGAACUGAAAUCAUUAGACCGUUUCUGAAACCAGUAGUGAAGUAUGUUAUUUAAUUCGACGACCCACGAAAAACCUUACCACAAUUUGAAUGUUAAAUUUAUUUAACACAAGCGUUGCAUGGCUGUCUUCAGUUAAUGUCGUGAGAUUUGGUUAGUUCCAUUAAAUUAACGUAAACCCUUGCUUUAUUUAUAUAUUUUUGUAUAAAGCAGUUCACCAUUAUAUUGGAUAUGAUAAAAGGGACUAAGACAAGUCAACAUGACCUUAAUAUUGUGG
RNAcentral lists this ribosomal RNA (764 nucleotides) under Geoglossum nigritum. RNAcentral describes it as "SSU rRNA". It matches the Rfam family "Bacterial small subunit ribosomal RNA", at positions 348 to 1212 of the family's 1533-position model. The record is from RNAcentral. Lineage: Eukaryota; Fungi; Ascomycota; Geoglossomycetes; Geoglossales; Geoglossaceae.